UGCGUGCUCACAAAGCCCAGGCUGGCACAU
RNAcentral lists this non-coding RNA (30 nucleotides) under Rattus norvegicus (Norway rat). The record is from RNAcentral. Lineage: Eukaryota; Metazoa; Chordata; Mammalia; Rodentia; Muridae.